RNAcentral lists this ribosomal RNA (499 nucleotides) under Oceanimonas smirnovii. RNAcentral's name for it is "bacterial SSU rRNA". It matches the Rfam family "Bacterial small subunit ribosomal RNA", at positions 35 to 524 of the family's 1533-position model. The record is from RNAcentral. Lineage: Bacteria; Pseudomonadati; Pseudomonadota; Gammaproteobacteria; Aeromonadales; Aeromonadaceae.
GGGCAUGCGGCAGCUAACACAUGCAGUCGAGCGGUAACAGAGAGUAGCUUGCUACUUUGCUGACGAGCGGCGGACGGGUGAGUAAUGCUUGGGGAUCUGCCCGGUCGAGGGGGAUAACCGUUGGAAACGACGGCUAAUACCGCAUGCGCCCUACGGGGGAAAGCAGGGGACCUUCGGGCCUUGCGCGAUUGGAUGAACCCAAGUGAGAUUAGCUUGUUGGUGAGGUAACGGCUCACCAAGGCGACGAUCUCUAGCUGGUCUGAGAGGAUGACCAGUCACACUGGGACUGAGACACGGCCCAGACUCCUACGGGAGGCAGCAGUGGGGAAUAUUGCACAAUGGGGGAAACCCUGAUGCAGCCAUGCCGCGUGUGUGAAGAAGGCCUUCGGGUUGUAAAGCACUUUCAGUGGUGAGGAAAGGAGGUUGGCUAAUACCUGACCUCUGUGACGUUAACCACAGAAGAAGCACCGGCUAACUCCGUGCCAGCAGCCGCGGUAAU